Molecule: long non-coding RNA, 1812 nt
Organism: Dromaius novaehollandiae (emu)
Lineage: Eukaryota; Metazoa; Chordata; Aves; Casuariiformes; Dromaiidae
Source: Ensembl
GUUAAUUUUUACAUGUCACAUUAUGCAGCAGGAGAGCCAAAUUUCCUUGUUUACAUGCGAGCAAGGAAACAUGUUGUUCAUUAGCAAUUAGAAGGCGCGUGCUCUUCCCUAUCGCUCACAAAAUGCACUUCCUCCGUUGUCAGGACACAGCGGUUUGGAGAGAAGCCUCAGGCACCCUUCCGUUUCCAAGAGUGACACGCUGGUCUCCAGAGGGAGGAAGGAUUAGCAUGGAUGCUAAUGGCCCAUGGUCACAUGCUGUGUCCAUACCUGCAGGUGAGCUACAAACACAGAUGUUUUACCUUCCUUUGGUUUGGGUUAUCUGUUGUCAUGAGAAAUGCUUUAACAUGCACACCUCUGAAAGCUGCCAGAUUGCAAAUGAACGUCUCCUGCUUACUUACAGGAUGCAUGCAGGAUGAGGGCGACCAGACAGUCUGUCCUCCAGCUCGCCUUCCCACUACGGUUCCAGCCCUGACUCAACGAGCAGGAGCGUCUGUGAGCUCUGAUUGAGCAAGGAGGCCUUGCCGUGCAGCUGGCGUUCUGCACGCUGCAUGUUCAAGGAAGGCAGCAGGACUGAAGCAAGAGACAGCAAACAGCUGGUUAUGCAAACCUGGGGGAGGCUCUUCCAUGUCAGAAGACCCAAUCCCAUUCUCUGCAUUCCAGUGUUAGAAAAACAGAUGGCUUUCCCGAUGCUGGGAAGUUGGGACUGGAAACCUCUCUGGAGGAUCUGAGCCACCUCACUCACAGCCUUCAUGAAAGCAGUGCCAGGCUACACAGGGCAGAACCCAGCCAAGCUCCUGCUGCCGCCCACCAGCACCCGGCCAGCACAGCAAACCCACAGCACGCCCCAGGUCCUUUCCUGCCACAGGUUCAUACCUCUGCGACCUGCACAGCACGUCCGGACCGGACCUGCACAUCCAGGAGCAGCGCAGCGUGUCGUGCUCCCCCGCCGCCAGCCGACCACAGGUCUCUGCACCGUUACCAACCCACGCAACAUCGGAGCGGCUUCGCAGUAAAUAGCGCCGGGGCCAAGGAGAAGCAAGAAAUCCAACUUCACUUCACCAGGGUUYGUUCUUUACCUCUCCUCCCRGUGCCAGGCAUUUCCUGCAGAGGACUGGCAGUUAGUUCUCAAAUAAUUUGUUCACUAAUGAAAUCAGAAAAGGGAAAAAACCUUUUAUUUUUCCUCUCUCUUGCCAUAAAACCAAGAGAAAUUAAUAAUAGGUAUUCUAAAUACAGAGACCUGUUUUUGGUCUGUUUCAUGAAAGGAUUGUUACAUGGUGAUUAUGAUUAAGAAAAGUAUUUUUCYUCUGCACAGACUGUAAUGGAUAAUUCCCAAAACAAGCCUGUUUGCAGACCCCAUUUGUUAAGCUUUUUCAAACUUGGAAGACCACCAACUCCUCAGGGUUGUCUAUUGGCAAAGGUCUGGCAUUGCAAAUGCCCUUAGUAAAUUUGUGUGCCCAUGCUUCUUGUAAAUUAUUUUUUCUCUAGUGUUAAGCUACAUACCCCAGAGGUCACUCAGCACAUUUAAAACCCCUGGCUGUGGGUGAAAUCCAGCUGUGAAUGGUUUGUGCUGGGCACAAAUAGCCCAACACUCUGGUUUUGAUGUUUCCUAUGGCAUGCACAGAUGGCUCAGCUAGAUUUUCAGAAAUGCCAGAGUUCAGAGCACAGAUCUCCUUGACUUGCAUACCUACUUUUUACACGCUCAUUUGGGUUUGAAUUCGGCACGUGGAUUAGGGCCAGGAUCCAAACCAGCCCCCUGAGCCGGGCGGCUGCGGCUGCUGCUGGCAGAGGAAGGGCCGAGGGGCCAGAUCAGGG